GCUGCGGGCUGCUCUAUCGCGGCCAUGGCCAUAAUGGCAUGGAUGAGGAAAGUCCGGACAACGUAGAGCGCCACGCCACCUAACGGGUGGGCCGUGACCAUAGGCGUCGCGGACAGAAAGUGCCACAGAAAACUAGACUUCCCGCCGGGAGGGCUCGCCCUUCUCCGCUACGGCCUUUGGUACGUAGCUUCGGUGGGUAAAGGUGAAAACGUGCGGGGCACCCGCCCUUAAUGUAAGAGCGCACGCCGGGCCAUAGCAAUACGGCCGGGGGGUAAACCUCGUGGGUUGAAAUGUCACAUACACCACGAUUCUGAUCUCUGAGGCAGAGCUUUGCUCUUUUCAGGGUCGGAUGCGGGUUGCUCGCCCGCUUGGAAACAGUCGUGGGGGGUAGGCAGAUAGACCCGGACGGCGACGUCAGGGCUAGAUAAAUGAUAGAGGCCCGGACAUGGGCGUAAGCCCAUCGUCAGGGAACAAAAUCCGGCUUACAGGCCCGCAGCAAUU
Molecule: RNase P RNA, 501 nt
Filed under: Phaeodactylibacter sp.
Lineage: Bacteria; Pseudomonadati; Bacteroidota; Saprospiria; Saprospirales; Haliscomenobacteraceae
Description: RNase P RNA component class A
Rfam family: Bacterial RNase P class A
About the family: Ribonuclease P (RNase P) is a ubiquitous endoribonuclease, found in archaea, bacteria and eukarya as well as chloroplasts and mitochondria.
Source: RNAcentral